Molecule: ribosomal RNA, 784 nt
Filed under: Nocardioides sp. CB 286542
Lineage: Bacteria; Bacillati; Actinomycetota; Actinomycetes; Propionibacteriales; Nocardioidaceae
Description: bacterial SSU rRNA
Rfam family: Bacterial small subunit ribosomal RNA
Source: RNAcentral
GCCACUUCGGUGGUACUCGAGCGGGGAACGGGUGAGUAACACGUGAGUAAUCUGCCCUGGACUUUGGGAUAGCCACCGGAAACGGUGAUUAAUACCGGAUAUGACCUGAUGCCGCAUGGUGUUGGGUGGAAAGUUUUUCGGUUCAGGAUGUGCUCGCGGCCUAUCAGCUUGAUGGUGGGGUAAUGGCCUACCAUGGCUUCGACGGGUAGCCGGCCUGAGAGGGUGACCGGCCACACUGGGACUGAGACACGGCCCAGACUCCUACGGGAGGCAGCAGUGGGGAAUAUUGGACAAUGGGCGGAAGCCUGAUCCAGCAACGCCGCGUGAGGGAUGACGGCCUUCGGGUUGUAAACCUCUUUCAGUACCGACGAAGCGAAAGUGACGGUAGGUACAGAAGAAGCACCGGCCAACUACGUGCCAGCAGCCGCGGUAAUACGUAGGGUGCGAGCGUUGUCCGGAAUUAUUGGGCGUAAAGGGCUCGUAGGCGGUUUGUCGCGUCGGGAGUGAAAACACUGGGCUUAACUCAGUGCUUGCUUCCGAUACGGGCAGACUAGAGGUAUGCAGGGGAGAACGGAAUUCCUGGUGUAGCGGUGAAAUGCGCAGAUAUCAGGAGGAACACCGGUGGCGAAGGCGGUUCUCUGGGCAUUACCUGACGCUGAGGAGCGAAAGUGUGGGGAGCGAACAGGAUUAGAUACCCUGGUAGUCCACACCGUAAACGUUGGGCGCUAGGUGUGGGGUCCAUUCCACGGAUUCCGUGCCGCAGCUAACGCAUUAAGCGCCCCGC